Trichomycterus rosablanca is the source of this 2114-nucleotide long non-coding RNA. RefSeq lists it as uncharacterized. The record is from RefSeq and is a predicted model, not a curated record. The transcript is spliced from 4 exons. Lineage: Eukaryota; Metazoa; Chordata; Actinopteri; Siluriformes; Trichomycteridae.
GCUUGGCCCAGGAUGUACAGGUCCAGCUGCGCCACAUCUGGAUUAAGACUCACCACCUUUACCUGUAGACAGAGAAAACAAAAGAGCUUGACAGCACGCAAGAUUUCCUUGAGGUCAGGCAGACACAUGGUGAAAGUGAGAGGCAGUGAUGUCUGCCUGUCGUAACCUACGCACUGUGGUGAAGCCAUGAAGUGAGGACCUGCAUCGCCCGACUGCAGCAGCUUACAGGCGUUUUGCUGGAAAAGAUGAGUAACAGGAUUAAGAGUCAGAAUCUUUUUUUGUUCGUUUUUUAUUUAUGCAUUUUCUCCCCUUUUUCUCCUUUUUUAGCGCGUCCAAUUGCCCGAUUGCGUCAUGCUUCCUCUCCAUCAAUGCUGAUCCCUGCUCUGAAUGAGGAGAACAUAGCUAACUCACGCCCCCUCCGACACGUGGGCGGCAUGCCGCACCAUCAAUCAGCCAGCAGAGGUCGUAAUUGCACCAGUCAUGAGAUAGAGAGAGACCCCAUCCGGCUUAGUCCCGCCCAUAUCUGAACAACAGGCCAAUCUUUGUUUAUGUGGCCGCUUAGCCUUAGCCGGCAGAUUCGAUACGAUGUAUUCAAGAUCCAGCUCUGGUUCCAGCGUGUGUUUUUACCGCUGUGCCACCUGAGCGGCCCUUUUCGUUUGUUUUUUAAUAUGCAAUCCACAAAUUUACACACAAUCAACUAAAAGCUGUUAACCCUGAGCAAUCAAUACACCAACAUCUGUACCAUAGUAAAUGAACAUGCAGCACUCACCCAGUCCGAUCCGAUGCGAAGGUGGAUUCCUAAAUAAGGUCUAGGAAGCAGCGUGCUGAUGUGCUUCUCUCCAUCCUGCACUAUUUUUUCAGCCCACACUACAUAGCGCUGCAGGCCCACAUGCUCCUCCAGCACAGGGAACUGGGCAGGAGCUCCGGGAAGAGCCAGCACUGGGUGCUCCGCUGGGGAAAACCUGAGGUGAUGGAUUCAGUCUGCAUUUCUGAGUCCUGCAAAAGCUCAGUCUCAAACCAGGUCUGGUGUAACAAAGACCUGAUUGUACGGCACCAUCCAAUGUGAGACAGUAAUUACCAGCUCUGUAAUCCUCAAACCUUCUUACAUACCUUCAUAGGGCAGCUUUUCUUAUCCGUACUCCGUUGAACAGCAGAGUCAAAGCAGUAAGCUACUCUCUGUCCCGGUGGCCAGUGUGUGGGAGCCAGAUGCUCCAUAAAGUCCUCCAGACUGACCACACGGUGGUACUGCUUUAGUGGCUCCAGCUGGAAAUACUCACUGUAUGGUAUGUGCACCUGUUUCAGGAAGAAGGAAAAAAUAAUCAUCAAAAAACAUACUUCAUCCAAAUUAUUAUACAAUUAUACAAAGUUUAAUUCAUGACUACAUCCUUGUGUUUAACUGACUGGCAGGUAGCCUGAGAAGACGGUGAUCCUGUUAUAGGAUGCCAGCCAGGGUGUGAUGUAGUGCUGGGCGAUACGACAGUACAUUCGGUUUACCGUCUUUGAUUCCUCAUACGGUAUGGAUUUUUCAAAUACCACCAUACCGUAGCAUAGUUAAUACAACAGCUGUAGGCUUCAGUAGGCAGCAAACUACAUAAUAUUGUGCAGAUUAGAUACAGCUCACGAGUUAGCCAGGUAGCGUUAGCAUGUUAGUGUUAACAGAUGAGAGGCUUCCUCAACAUGGUGGAAAAAAUAACAAAAACAGAUGGAGGAUGAAGAGAGGAAGACCAAAUAUGCACCAGAAGAACCUGCCAAAGAAAUGAGGUGUGUCAGCAGUUUUAAACAGACUAAAACAUGAUAAACUGCACGGUUUGUUGAGCCACGGCUGUUGCAAACGAUGACAAUAUGAACGCAGUAACUAUCCACAUAUGCAAGGACACGAUUCCUCUAUAGCACUGGUGUCAAACUCAUUUUCACCGAGGGCCACAUCAGCAUUAUUGUGGCCCUCAAAGGGCCGAUUGUAACGUAUCCUGCUGUGAUUGCAGUCUGCUGUUUUUCUUGGAGGCUGAUUUCCGCAUUUAUAUUGUCCUCCUUUACCACAGACACAGCCUCAUAACACAAGAGACGCACCGGUUUCUCUUCCUGAAGCACAAACUUGUUUUCACUUUCAUUAAAUU